AUGAAUUUUUUUAAAAUUUUUCUUAACCUUACUUCCAUGUAUGCGAGUUAGAACGUUACAAGAAUCCAUCCUAUGAAAUCUAGAUUUCAUGUUUUCACACUUUUCUAUUAAAUUUUGUUCUUUUAUGAUUUUAACGUUGUUUUGUUGAUCUUGAUUAUAUUCCAACUCUUCAAUCAGAUCCGAAUGUGUAAAGAAAGAAGAGUAUGGAUGUUGACAAUUACAUGCAAUGGUUGUUGUUUGUAUGAAAUGAAUAUCUAUUUUAUUUGAUCAUUUUGGAAAGAUACAAACUUAAAUAUAAUAAGUGAGAAUGAAUACAUGUAUGUCAAUGGUUUUUUUCUCUUUGAUUUUUGGGAAAAAGAAACUAUAUUUGCUCGCGCUUCUUUUGAAUUAUCGAUGGAAGAGCCCAAAAUUCUCAUGGGGCCAGAUUGGAGUGCAGGCCGAAGAUCACGACAUUGUCUUUAAUCUAGCCUUCAAAUUCCAGUGCUUUGUGUGAUCAGACUUGAAGAAGGACAUGGCAGAGCAUAAGAAUAUUUUCCCACAUGCCACCAAAAAUUGCAGCACAAACCCAGCCAAAUUAUUCCAUAUUCUUCUGAUGAAAAUGCCAGUGGGGAGCUUGGUACUUACAAACGGCUGCUUCCUUUUUGCCCAUCCAUCAGAUGUUUGAUAAAAUGGCUGAAUCAUUUUUCAGACGUACUGGUUCCUCUGCCGAUGUCAAUUCCCAUGGUGGGGUUUAUCCUAUUGUCUGGUUUCUUCAAGAGGAAGAACAAUGCGCUUUCCUUUGUCAAGAAGGCCCUCAGGUUUCUAAAGGUGUCUUAAACAAGGAUGGUCCACCAGAAGCUUCGAGUACUAGAAAAACUCAUUCCCAUCAAUGGUAAAAUUGGACUCAAAAGACCAGCACUUGAUGUUUUGUCUCCGACAUUUCUACACCAAACAUGGCCAUGGAACUAUUAGAUCACUGGAAUGAUGACUAUGAAGGGAUCAUCAUUAAUUCAGAGAGCCUACCCUCCAAGCAUCUCUCUUCCAAUUGAGACUCAAGUGGAGAAAAGGGAUGUGGCUCAAACUUAGAUACAGAGCAGGCUGAACUAGUUUCUGUGGCUAUUAACGAAGGGUUCAACUAUCAUCAUGCUGAAGCAGGAUAUGUCAUGCUCACUUACUGGAUUCCUGAUUUGCCCUCCAUGCUUCCUUCUGGCCCCUCCCAUCAUAUUGGUGUUGCAACAUUCCCAUCAAUGACAACAAGGGGAUGGAUUCAAUGUUCUUGCUUCUUGGGAAUUGCGUUCAGGUAUGGGUUCCUUCAUUUAUUGCCAAAUUAUGUUCUGUUAUUAGAAAAAUAUCAAAUUAUCAGACUAUCAUUCAGGAAUUGCAAAAGAAGGAAAUUUGAAUUGCUUUAUUAUGUCGGUUGGGGCUUGUGUGACACACAGAUCCUUGCAUGCAUUUUUGUCCAUUAGUUUUAGUUUUAGUCCUUCUAACGUACAUUAUACUUCAUUCUUAGUCCUGGUUGUGGAAAAAAUAUAUUGUUUCAAGUAAUUUAAAAUGUAAUCUAUCAUACAUAAAUCAUAUCUAGAUUAUCACUUCGAUGAUAAGAAAUAAAGUGUAUGCGUAGGAGUAUUUUAAAAGAAUAUAGACUUAUUUAUUCCUUUUAUAGGCAAUCUAACUUUUUUCCUCACUUUUCUGAGUUCUAUUCACAUUAGGGAAUAGAUAAUGGAUGUAAUGCCUGAUUUUGGAGAUAAAUGAAUGAACGAGGAUUGCAAGUUAACAAAGGCUUAAACGAAUUGAUAGCUACCUGUAAAUCCUCUACCAACAAGGUGUAUGUUUUUUGUUUAUGGCUCAAUAAUAAGAACUUCAAAGUAAACCUAGGGAGAGGAAUAAGCAAGUUGGGAGGAUUCAAGACAAACAAGGAUGGGAGUGUGAAGAAAUUCGGAUUCCAAAUCUUGAUACAAGGUGUUAGAAUUGACAUCUAUAUUAACAGAGUAAUUAUUCAAAUAGGUCACAGAUUUAGGUAUUAAAACUAUAUUAAACCAACCAAAUAAACUACACAAGAAAAGUAUUAGUGAAAUUAAUUUGAAUGAUGAAGCAAGAUAAGGAAACUGAAGGGGAUGAUGAUUAGUGAGGGUUUUUUUUGUAGAACCAAUGGAUGGGCUUUUGAUGAGUUUAUUAGUAUGAAGCCACCAGUUUUAGGAAGAAGACUAGAUUUUCAUAGCCGCCCAUGAGGGCCACUACACUGGAUUCCUGGCCCAUUAUCUCCUUUCCAAGUUGGACCUAAGAAUUUCUUCUUAGCUUAAAUCAUAAAAGAAAUUUCAUUUGUUAUCUUAGUUGAGAAUUCGUGUUUUUUUUAGGACUAUUCUAACUUUCACAUCAAUAUUUAACAUAAUUGAUUUUUGAAAUUGUAAACAAAAUAUUUUUUUAAUUAUCAAAUACCAAAUUUGUUAUAUAAUUUAUAACUUCCAUAAUUAUUUUCACAUUUAUAGUUGUAUUUAUUAUUAGAAUGUCAUUUUAACGUGGAUAUACUUAUAAUAGGGUAUAAAUUCUUAUAUAGUAUGGUAAUAAUAUGUUUAUUAUUUCUAUAAAUUAACUCUUUUCAAUUUCAUAAUCAACCCAAAACUAUUUUUCAGAGAUGUUAAAUUUCUCUAAUCAUUAUUUCAUUUUGAUUUACCGAUUUCGUUCUUCCUUCUUCCUUCUUCCCUCGUGAUUUCCUUACGAAAUAUCUGGUUAGUUGUGUUUUUUCUUCUUAUUGUUCAUUCUGUUGGUCUUUUAGCUAUUAUUUUGGGUUCUUCGUCUUCUAGUUCAUUUCAAACCGACAUCUAUUUAGAUGGAGACAUUUUUUUUAUAUAAAUAUAAAUGUCUAAGAUAGAUUCCACCUUCAAACUUAAGAUACAUGACAUAUUUUCAACAUAAGCUUUGUUGAAACAGUCAUCUCUAUUAGAGGCAACUUUCAAUAUGUUACAACUAAAUCAGACAAGGGGGUUUUGAUUUUGCACUGCGUAAUUGAAGAUUGUUUAUUGUCGCUAUGUGCUUCUUGUUGUUUCAUGGGAUAAGACAUUAUCGGUUCUUACUAGGUUCAAUUAUGAACAUAAUGUUCCUUUAACAGAUCAUAGAUCACAGAUAGGCUACUUUUUCUAAUUAAGUACUUAAUAAAAAAAUAAAAUAAGUUUAGCUGGUUCGAAGUUGUCCACAUAUAUAGUCCACUACAUUUGUUUUGAGCAUGAUUUAAGUAUUAGUUACCAAAAAGCAUAGUGUGCGCGUGAGACGCAUUUGAUGAAGUUAGAGGAUCUCCAAAAGACUCUUACAAGAUGUUACCAAAGUUUGCUUACAUGCUGAACUCAACAACCCAUGUAUACCUUUAAUAACAUUCUUAUAUAAGAAAUAACCAUGAUAACCAUCACAGUCCUCAUGGUUAUUCCAAUCUGUGAUAUUUUUUUCUUGAACUGUUGCAGUACUCUCAUCUUUCAGAAGUUUUUUCAGGCCUUCAACCUCCACAGAAGGUUUGUCUAGAUUCAUGUUCAAUGUUUUAUUCUUGGCCAGCAUUAUUUCCAAAUUAGGAAGUACUUAGAAAUUUGAACAUUAAUAUCCUCAGCUUCUUUUGAGCAUUAUCCUUUUUCAAAUUUUCUAGUUUCACAUUCAUAGAACGUGCUUCGUUCCAUGAACUCUUCUUCAGAAAACAUGCCCUUGAAUUCAAAGCAUGAAAUAAAUACGUAUAUGAAUACAAUAUAUUGUGGUAUAUUAUAAUCAA
Molecule: long non-coding RNA, 3727 nt
Organism: Cucumis sativus (cucumber)
Lineage: Eukaryota; Viridiplantae; Streptophyta; Magnoliopsida; Cucurbitales; Cucurbitaceae
Exons: 7
Source: RefSeq, a predicted model, not a curated record